AGUGAACGCUGGCGGUAGGCCUAACACAUGUAAGUCGAACGGCAGCACAGAGGAGCUUGCUCCUUGGGUGGCGAGUGGCGGACGGGUGAGGAAUACAUCGGAAUCUACUCUGUCGUGGGGGAUAACGUAGGGAAACUUACGCUAAUACCGCAUACGACCUACGGGUGAAAGCAGGGGACCUUCGGGCCUUGCGCGAUUGAAUGAGCCGAUGUCGGAUUAGCUAGUUGGCGGGGUAAAGGCCCACCAAGGCGACGAUCCGUAGCUGGUCUGAGAGGAUGAUCAGACACACUGGAACUGAGACACGGUCCAGACUCCUACGGGAGGCAGCAGUGGGGAAUAUUGGACAAUGGGCGCAAGCCUGAUCCAGCCAUACCGCGUGGGUGAAGAAGGCCUUCGGGUUGUAAAGCCCUUUUGUUGGGAAAGAAAUCCAGCUGGCUAAUACCCGGUUGGGAUGACGGUACCCAAAGAAUAAGCACCGGCUAACUUCGUGCCAGCAGCCGCCGUAA
Molecule: ribosomal RNA, 506 nt
Filed under: uncultured bacterium
Lineage: Bacteria
Description: partial 16S ribosomal RNA
Rfam family: Bacterial small subunit ribosomal RNA
Source: RNAcentral